Molecule: RNA transcript, 5637 nt
Organism: Spinacia oleracea (spinach)
Lineage: Eukaryota; Viridiplantae; Streptophyta; Magnoliopsida; Caryophyllales; Amaranthaceae
Exons: 3
Source: RefSeq, a predicted model, not a curated record
UUAUUAUUAUUAUUAUUAUUAUUAUUAUUAUUAUUAUUAUUAUUAUUAUUAUUAUUAUUAUUAUUAUUAUUAUUAUUUUAUGUUAAGCGUAGAAUGUACUUUUCAUUUGUCUUUAUUUUUAUUUUUAUUCGUGACUCAAGACGGCUUGAAAGAUGGGUUGAAUGAGAUAGGAUAAUUUGUAUAGGUAUUAGUCAAGCAUGAGGAUUGGAAAGGGUAGAAGAUCGUAGAGGUUUAUGUAGUUUUGUGGUAUGAUUUGGAUUGGUUGACUCAAUUCUUUUUCCUUUGUUUACUUGGGUAAAUUUCGCACUUUGAGAGGUACGGGCUAAGUAUUUCAUGGCUCGUUAUUUUCGCAUUCCUUUUUCUCUUUCUCUUUUUUCUUUUUUGCUUGGGAUUUCUCCCCCUUUUUAUUUGGGCUAAAAGGUAGAUGCUUGUGGUCUUUGAGUCACGAGGCAAGACUGAGUGAGCCUCGUCUGGUAGGCCUAUAGUGGACCUUUAAUUUUAGUAGGCAAAGGGUGGACCUUUAAUUUUAGUAGGCCUAGGGUGGACUUUUAAAUUGUCCUACUUUGCAAUAGUAUUUAGUUGUUUCUUAAAAUGUGCAAAUAGCGUAGAUUCAAAAUAUUUUUUUUACUUUAUUGAAAUUUAACGAAAGAAUUACAUCGAAAAUAAUUUUUUGCUUCUUUUCAGAUUCCAGUUUCCGGGAUUUAAUUGGAAGUUGUGAUUAAGACUCGAACUUUCAUUAAUUUUUCUGAUUAUAACCCGUGUAUGAAUACAAGGAGGUGGCAUAGACUCAAAAUAAUAAUACUUGACCAAGCGACUCUCAAACUUAGGCUAAUUGGACCAUAACUUUCGUCGGUUUGACACUUUAGAUUUUAACCCUUGGGUGUUCAUUUGUCAUGCGCCAUUUUGCUUAAUGUUGGCAAGGUAGUUAGUUGGGGGGAUCGAAUUUUCAUUUUUGCAAGACUAGAAUCAUUAGUGCGGCUUCCCUCUUAGUGUGUAUUGCUUUACCCCAAUGGUAGCCUUAUGGCAUGCCGAUUUGGGUAUUUUCAUGGUUCGUCAUGUUGCAUUCAUGGAAAAUCUUUUAGUCCGUACGUAGGAGUACUUCAAGGAGCGAGUGGCUCGAGAGGACUAUGAUAGUCGUGACCCAAUGUGAUCAUAAGCCUUGAGGCCAUUAAUUUUUUUCUUUUGCCAAUAGUAUUGACACUUUAGGCUCACUUUGGGGGUUGUGCGACUAUGGAGGAAUGAUUUUCAGAAUGUGACUGUUUUCCAUUUUGCAAAUACUUGAAUUACAUAAUAUAUUCUUUUUAUGGGUGAGAGAGAUUAUUGAGGCCGUAGAUUCUUAGAAAGGGAUGACAAUUACAUAUGGGUGCUUAUUGAUUUCUUUUAAAUGUUAGGAAGGGAGACUCAAUAUGGUUUAACCUUUUAACUUGCAGAACGACACCAAGCAUUAGGACCGAUUCUAUGUAUAAGACAACUAAGGCUUAGGAUUUAGAUUGUACUUUGGCAUAGCCUAGUCUAGACUCGGAUUUAUUUAUUUUUUAUUCGAGCAUUAUCUUUCCUUGAAAACUUUAUUUGAACAUCAUUUUUUGAAUACUUUGCCCAUGUGACAUUCAAGGUUAUUUUAAUUAGCAUGCUCGGUUUUGGUGCCGAACAUUGUCGUCAUAGGAGGCCUAACGACGACACAAGGAGUUGUUUAUUUUAUAAGUCGUUUUUAGAAUUGAGUGCCUUUUUCAUACGUCCUCGUAGCAAAUUUGUUAUGAAUUUUUUAUUGCUACGUAUAUUUUGUGCGCGGGGACAUGCACCAAUGAGAGGGACCUUAGUGGGCGAGCGACACGACCCCAGGUAUUUUCAGCGCCCAGGGCUGGGCGCCGAAGAUUUCGGCGCCCAGACCCAGGCGUUGAAAAUAGGAUCUGGGCCGAGCCUUUUUGUCAGAUUUGGACUCUUAAACACGGAGCUUUUGAGAAUUAUCCGAGUUUCUUAGUGCGUAUUAACUUAUGACGGAAUGCGUCUGGGCCCGUUACGAACUCUAGGUUCGUUAGGAAUUUAAUUAAUACGUAACUCUUAUUUCCGAAUUAUAGCAGGAAUAGAAUUCCUUUUGCCAAUUCUAUCUCUUUUAGGACUUAUGUUGGAGUGCAACACCUAAUUCUGACAGAUUUCUAUCUUUUAUGACUUUGCCACUUUGAACAACUAUUUCUUACGGCAGUUACUAUUCUUAACAGGUUUCUAUAAAUAGCAGUUUUGGCUGAAAUGAAAGGGUGAUUGAGAUUCGUUAUUUUAUAGGAGAUGCGUUGCCAAAUGGAGAUUUAUGUUCUCAUCAUCGAACCUUCCCUUUCGGGAAUGGGGACAAAAGUAGGUGUCUACACCGUAGGCCUAGGUACUAGAUCCCAUAUCCCUGUUUUAACUAAAGUCCCAUAUUCAUCUUGCAUCGCCUCAUUCCAGUUCGGGUCAAUUAAAGCUUGUUAAUGGUUUUUAGGUAGAGGGGAACGAGUUAAUGUGGGUCCACUAGGUUGUAUGGUGAGAGCAUGAAGGAAAUGAUGCCCUUGGUCCAAGUAUGCAUUCAAUGCUAAGUCUAAUCAAAGCGGUUUAGUAUUAAUUGAUUAAACAAGUUAAUAAUUAAGUGAGAUCAAGUGAGCUGAAUGCCUAGCUAGAGGCCGCUUCAGUUCAAGUGGAAUUAAUAAUAUUAAUCUACAACUUACUCUUGACUGAACUCGUAGGGUCACACAAAUAUAUAGUACGUGAACGGAUCAAGUAUUUAAAUGAAUAUAUUAUUCAUUAAAUACUCUAUUUAUGAACAUUGGGAAACGAUGGAUCUCGGUUCCAGUGGGAGCUGAAAUCGUCAAAAGGAAAAAUAUAGAAUACUCCGAAAAUGAUGAUAUUGCCGGAAACGAAAAUAUGGAUCAUAACGGAAAUAUAAAUAUUAUCCAAGUCGUAGAUGUUGCCGGAAACGGAAUCAUGGUUCGUAUCGGAAAAUAUUAUCGGAAAUAGAAAUAUUACUGGAAAUGGAAAUAUUGUCGGAAACGAAAAUAUUACAGGAAUCAGAAAUAUUGUCGGAAAAGGAAAUUAUUUCCGGAAUCGGAAAUAUUAACGGAAACGUAAAUAUUUGUUGGAAUCGGAAACAAAUUCGGGAAUCGGAAAACGAAUCGGAAGCGCGACGUGCGAACGAUCGACGAACGAGCUUGCGAUACGCAAGGCCCAGCGCAAGCGCCAGGCCUAGCGCCAAGCAAGCCCGCGCGCGGAGCAUCGAGCAUGAGCAGCGAGCAUGGGCCAAGCAGCAGCGCCCAACGAGAUGGGCCGCGUGCUGCUUGCUCCCACGCCCAGCACGCAUGGGCCGAGCCAAGCAGCAGCGCCCACUCAUGGGUUGCGCGUUGCGGGGCUGCGUGCUACACGGCCAACGCCUUGGCCGGUUAGGAUUGCUUGCUUAUCGUGUUUCCUAAUUCUACUGAAAUUAGAUGUUUUGGUUAAAUCAGAAAUACUUAGUAUUUGAUUAAACCUAAAAUUCCAAUGUUAUUAGUUAAUUAGAAUCCUUAUGGAUUUAGUUAAUCGAUUCCUAGUAGAAUUCUAACUCCUCUAUUUCCACCUUUUAAAUAUGUGGUUCAUUAUCACAAUUUAUAACGCAAUUCAAUAAGUAUUCCAAUACAUUAAGUUCAAGAGAGAAUUUAGUAUUUGCCUAAUAUUAUUGUGAGUUUCCCGAGUGCACAUAAAACCUUAGAGAAUAUUCUAGUUAGUUGAAUCUAAGGCGGAUCCGAACGUGCUGUGGACUAUCUACGGAGGGGCGACAUUUGGAGUCCUAUACUUGUUCUUGUUCGGUUCGGGAGCAGCUAGGGAAGGCACGCAUCACAUUGUUAUGGAAAGUGACUAGUAUGGCUCAAAUAGGAUAGAAAAUAUGGUAUGCGUACCAUUAAUCUGAAUGUAAAAUUGGUCUAAUGCACCAAAGUUUUUAAUUUUAAAUAUGGUCUGCAUACCAUCAAAUAAUAGUUGUAAUUAGUUUUAAUUAUGACAUAUCCUAUUUGAAGAAAAUGGCGCCUCCCAUGGUAAAAUUCAAGACUGAGUUUCCGAUCCAUUUUGAAAGACGGAGUUUGAAUUUGAAGCUUCAAGAUGAAGUCGGGUCAUACUAGAUCACAUUUAAAUCUUAUGCAUGCUUUAAGUUAUUUAUUGCUUUAAAUACGUCUUAAUUAUGCAUGAGAUUAUGGCUUGAGUCCUUUUAUGUCGUGGCAAAACAUAUAGGUUUACCUAAUAAGUUCUUUGACGUACCUAUCAACCAAGAAUAGUUUCUAGACUAUUAACAAAAGAUUUGCUUACCUAAAAUAUUUUAUAAUUGAGUCUAAAUACAUAAUGUGAUUAAUUUUUCGAUGAUUUUAGGAUAUUGGAUUCAUUUUAUUCACACCUGUCGGAACACAAAAACUCGAAUAAAAUGCUUAAUAAAUAUUGAAUUAUGCAUGAAUGCUAGAAUUUUAGUUUAUUAAGAGAAACUUUAUUUGUUUAUUCUUUUCAAUUGUAGUUUUAACUAUGGCAAACAAUAAUUCAUUCAACAUCCGUGCAAUUCUCGAAAAGGAGAAGUUGAGCGGGAAAAACUUCCUUGACUGUCAAAGGAACUUGCAAAUAGUUCUUAUCCAGGAAGAAAAGGAGUAUGUCUUGGAAGAGCCGAUGCCCGAAGCCGCGGGCGAAGGGGUCACUCAGGCAGCCCUCAAUCGUUGGAUUGAUGCCAAAAAGGAUGUGAAAUGUCUAAUGCUUGCAACCAUGAGUGCAAAUCUACAGAAAACGUUCAUCAACUCAGAUGCUUUCACAAUCAUCAGUGAGUUAAAGAACAUGUUCCAAGAUAUGGCUCGAGUCGAAAGAUUCGAGACUCAUAGGCAAAUUCUUGACACCAAGCUCAAGAAGGGCGAGCCCGUAAGUCCACAUGUUCUCAAGAUGAUUGGAUUAAUUGAGAAUAUGAGUCGGCUGGAUCAGCAGUUCUCUCAAGAAAUGGGUGUAGGCACCAUCCUCCAUUCUCAUCAUAGCGGGUAUGAUCAGUUCAAGCUGAACUACAACAUGAAUAGUCUGGACAAAACGCUCACUGAGCUUCACGGUAUGCUGAAGACCGCUGAAAAGACGCUCAAAAGUGAUAAGCAAGAUGUGCUUAUGGUGCGUGGGAGCAAGUUCAAGAAAUCUGGCAAAAAGAGGAAUCCUAAGAAAGGUGGCAAGAAAGCCAGCCCAACUAAGCAAACUGGCGGCACCAAGUCUGAAAAGAAGAAGGUGAGCCAACCCACUUCUGAAUUGAAUGCUUCUACUGUAAGAAGAAGGGGCAUUGGAAGAGAGAUUGCUUGAAGCUUAAGGAAGAUCAGAAGAACGGAACCGUCGUCCCAUCUUCAGGGACAAAGAAGAAGUAGAAGGUUAAGCAAGAGUGAAAUCGACCUACGAGUGAGAAAUGGAGCAAGGAUUGCUGCAUUAGCUGUAGGAACUUAUUAUUUUUCGUUUCCCUCUGGGCUAGUUUUGGAACUGGAAGAGUGUUUCCAUGUUCCAAGUCUUACUAAAAACAUCAUUUCUAUUUCUUGCUUAGAUGCUAAGGGAUUUACCUUUUUAAUAAAAGACAAUAGUUGCUUGUAUUAUUUUAAAGAGAUGUUUUAUGGAUCUACUAGAUUAUUCAAUGGACUUUAUUUGCUA